RNAcentral lists this ribosomal RNA (410 nucleotides) under uncultured microorganism. RNAcentral describes it as "bacterial SSU rRNA". It matches the Rfam family "Bacterial small subunit ribosomal RNA", at positions 9 to 425 of the family's 1533-position model. The record is from RNAcentral.
GAGUUUGAUCGUGGCUCAGGACGAACGCUGGCGGCGUGCUUAACACAUGCAAGUCGAGCGGUAAGGCCUUUCGGGGUACACGAGCGGCGAACGGGUGAGUAACACGUGGGUGAUCUGCCCUGCACUUCGGGAUAAGCCUGGGAAACUGGUCUAAUACCGGAUAUGACCUCCUAUCGCAUGGUGGGUGGUGGAAAGAUUUAUCGGUGCAGGAUGGGCCCGCGGCCUAUCAGCUUGUUGGUGGGGUAAUGGCCUACCAAGGCGACGACGGGUAGCCGACCUGAGAGGGUGACCGGCCACACUGGGACUGAGACACGGCCCAGACUCCUACGGGAGGCAGCAGUGGGGAAUAUUGCACAAUGGGCGAAAGCCUGAUGCAGCGACGCCGCGUGAGGGAUGACGGCCUUCGGUUG